RNAcentral lists this ribosomal RNA (676 nucleotides) under Klebsiella pneumoniae. RNAcentral's name for it is "bacterial SSU rRNA". It matches the Rfam family "Bacterial small subunit ribosomal RNA", at positions 57 to 741 of the family's 1533-position model. The record is from RNAcentral. Lineage: Bacteria; Pseudomonadati; Pseudomonadota; Gammaproteobacteria; Enterobacterales; Enterobacteriaceae.
GCAGUUCGAGCGGUAGCACAGAGAGCUUGCUCUCGGGUGACGAGCGGCGGACGGGUGAGUAAUGUCUGGGAAACUGCCUGAUGGAGGGGGAUAACUACUGGAAACGGUAGCUAAUACCGCAUAACGUCGCAAGACCAAAGUGGGGGACCUUCGGGCCUCAUGCCAUCAGAUGUGCCCAGAUGGGAUUAGCUAGUAGGUGGGGUAACGGCUCACCUAGGCGACGAUCCCUAGCUGGUCUGAGAGGAUGACCAGCCACACUGGAACUGAGACACGGUCCAGACUCCUACGGGAGGCAGCAGUGGGGAAUAUUGCACAAUGGGCGCAAGCCUGAUGCAGCCAUGCCGCGUGUGUGAAGAAGGCCUUCGGGUUGUAAAGCACUUUCAGCGGGGAGGAAGGCGAUAAGGUUAAUAACCUUGUCGAUUGACGUUACCCGCAGAAGAAGCACCGGCUAACUCCGUGCCACAGCCGCGGUAAUACGGAGGGUGCAGCGUUAAUCGAAUUACGGGCGUAAGCGCACGCAGGCGGUCUGUCAGUCGGAUGUGAAAUCCCCGGCUAACCUGGGAACUGCUCCCAAGGGGCGAGUUAAGCGUGUCACCGAGUCGCAUUCCGCAGCGGCACUCCAUGCUAGACUUUUAGCAUAUGCUCACGAGGCUGCUCCUGUAUCUGCUCGACUCUA